Molecule: ribosomal RNA, 497 nt
Filed under: uncultured bacterium
Lineage: Bacteria
Description: partial 16S ribosomal RNA
Rfam family: Bacterial small subunit ribosomal RNA
Source: RNAcentral
GAUGAACGCUGGCGGCGUGCCUAAUACAUGCAAGUCGAGCGAACGGACGAGAAGCUUGCUUCUCUGAUGUUAGCGGCGGACGGGUGAGUAACACGUGGAUAACCUACCUAUAAGACUGGGAUAACUUCGGGAAACCGGAGCUAAUACCGUAUGAUAUUUUGAACCGCAUGGUUCAAAAGUGAAAGACGGUCUUGCUGUCACUUAUAGAUGGAUCCGCGCUGCAUUAGCUAGUUGGUAAGGUAACGGCUUACCAAGGCAACGAUGCAUAGCCGACCUGAGAGGGUGAUCGGCCACACUGGAACUGAGACACGGUCCAGACUCCUACGGGAGGCAGCAGUAGGGAAUCUUCCGCAAUGGGCGAAAGCCUGACGGAGCAACGCCGCGUGAGUGAUGAAGGUCUUCGGAUCGUAAAACUCUGUUAUUAGUGAAGAACAUAUGUGUAAGUAACUGUGCACAUCUUGACGGUACCUAAUCAGAAAGCCACGGCUAACUACGUG